CGAGCUACUAAUGGUCACAAAUCAGAAUAGUACAAUGUUUCUGCUGUUUUCUGAAGCUACAUUAGAAAGCCAGAGGUGUUUACUUGAAGUUCUGCCAUGUUAAUGUUUAUGUGCUUGCUUUAAAAUGCUGUAGUUCUUUAACUAAUCAUGCAUUGUUAACCUCUUGGAAAAGGCAGCGCUUCAGACUACGGUGUUUGCACAGCAGAUUGUAAAAUUGUGUCUCAGAGCUCCAAGGGGGCUAGAACUGUCACGAAUACUUCUAAUAAUAUUGGAAGAAAAUUAAUAGAAGCUCAAGUCCUUGAGCAGGAAUCAGAAUCACACAGCACGGCAUUAUGCAGCCUCUGAAAUUUGAGGAACUGCUGUACAACAUUUCCCAUGCUCAGUUGAGUAGCCAUGUUUUAUCCUCCAGUAAAUGUUUAUUCGGCUGAUCUUACAUUUGGGAAAACUACGGAAUUAUUCAAGGCCAAAUUGCCAGUCCUGCCGAGAUCAUUCAGAGUGCUCUUGAUGUGGUUGUUCAUUGAACCAUCUGCUGAAAGACUAGAGGAGUGGCAGACAAAACAGUGGCUGAAGAAAGCUUUACUAAAUUGUUUUCAUUUCCACCAAAAGGACUGAGGAGCACUGUGAGACUGACUGUUCUUUGUGCUGAACUCAAGAGACAGCAAACUCAAUACUGGGUCUCAAUGGAAGAGCAAGGCAGGAAGAUGUGUUAUAAUUUGAGGAGCUGAUAAGCUUCAUAUUCUGAAAUUACAGCUUGAAAAGUACCCUAUACUUUUUAAAUUAAAUAAUUUAUGUUAUUUGUUGAGGAAAAUGCCACGGAUUUGAUUUGGUGGGUUUUUUGUUGUUGUUGUUUGGUUUUUGUUUGUUUGUUUUCAUAUUAAAAAAACCACAAGCUUAUAGAACAUUCGUGUGUGCGUUUCUGUUGUUUGGUGUGG
Gallus gallus (chicken) is the source of this 932-nucleotide long non-coding RNA. The record is from Ensembl. Lineage: Eukaryota; Metazoa; Chordata; Aves; Galliformes; Phasianidae.